CCUACGGGAGGCAGCAGUGGGGAAUUUUGGACAAUGGGCGAAAGCCUGAUCCAGCCAUGCCGCGUGAGUGAAGAAGGCCUUCGGGUUGUAAAGCUCUUUUAGUCGGAAAGAAAGAGUCACAGUGAAUAGCUGUGAUUUAUGACGGUACCGACAGAAAAAGCACCGGCUAACUACGUGCCAGCAGCCGCGGUAAUACGUAGGGUGCGAGCGUUAAUCGGAAUUACUGGGCGUAAAGGGUGCGCAGGCGGUCUUGCAAGUCAGAUGUGAAAGCCCCGGGCUUAACCUGGGAAUUGCGUUUGAAACUACAAGGCUAGAGUGCAGCAGAGGGGAGUGGAAUUCCAUGUGUAGCAGUGAAAUGCGUAGAGAUGUGGAAGAACACCGAUGGCGAAGGCAGCUCCCUGGGUUGACACUGACGCUCAUGCACGAAAGCGUGGGGAGCAAACAGGAUUAGAUACCCUGGUAGUCCACGCCCUAAACGAUGUCAACUAGUUGUCGGAUCUAAUUAAGGAUUUGGUAACGUAGCUAGCGCGUGAAGUUGACCGCCUGGGGAGUACGGUCGCAAGAUUAAAACUCAAAGGAA
This 580-nucleotide ribosomal RNA is filed under the name uncultured beta proteobacterium. RNAcentral describes it as "bacterial SSU rRNA". It matches the Rfam family "Bacterial small subunit ribosomal RNA", at positions 338 to 909 of the family's 1533-position model. The record is from RNAcentral. Lineage: Bacteria; Pseudomonadati; Pseudomonadota; Betaproteobacteria.